CAAGAGGUUGGUCUUGUAUUUAAUCAGUGGUCAGAUAGUAUCAGUAAUGAGUGAGUGAUACAUUUGCCCAGACACGCACAUUUCAUUUUAAUAUUCGGCAAUACGUUUUUAGUGUUACCCGCCUUUUUGUCCGUUUUAUUUGAAUUGUUUUAGGCCAUGCUUUUAGACUGUCCUGAUGGUCUGCGUCAAAAGUAUGCACAAAAGCAAUAACAUUGUUAACAUGUAUCUGUUCCAACACACUUGAAGAAAGGAAGCACUUUCGCGUCAUCACCCGGAAGUGACCUUUGUGCCACAGUGAAGGGAGUCAUCUGUUCAGAAUGGACAGUUUCCCGAAGUGUUCUGUCUGUCAGCAGCAGUUUACCCUGAAAGGUCCAGUCCCCUACUUACUGCCCUGUCUACACGCUGUGUGUGAGACGUGUGUGACAUCUGUAGCUGGCGGUGUGAUAUCAUGCUCUACAUGUCAGAGGGAGGUCAACCUCACAGACACAAGUCUCCAGAAGGAUGCAGUCAGACAGAAGGAAAUAUUCCACCUGACAGUCAAACAUCUCCCCACAGAGCUCCUCUGUACACAUGAAGAUGACGGCAACCAGGCUGUGUGUUGGUGUCGGUUUAAACUUAGAAUUCAAUACAGAUUGCAAAGCACUUGCACAAAAUGUUAUUACAGUGUUGAUAAAGUUUAAAUAAAAGAGACAAGACCCUUUCUAUGUGCAUAAGAAAUCAUAGCUAAUAGCAGUGUCGGUUGUCCAAUUCCGACUAUACCAUGAGCGUCAAACUGAAGCUUCAUUAAUGCGUCAAGUUUGAAAAUGUCCUCCAUAUGUCCUACAUAAAUCGUACUGACUGAGGUCUUUGAUCAAACCAAUUUUUGAGGAACAAUCAUGUGGCGUCGUUGCAAUCUUCAUGGAGAAAGCAUGCUCGGUUGUACAUCGAAGGCUGUGAAAUAGAGACACCCUCGAGACAUUUUGCUCGAGAUAAAGGGAAAGUUGACUCAUGGAAAGUUGAAGUCGUCAUGAACUUUUUGACGAAUGAUUUCCAUGGCGAUGUGGUAGACUAGCUGUUAUGAAUACCAUUAUCCGAAGUAUAUUUCAACGGACAUUUAAUACAAAUCAAACUAUGGUAAUGUUUGACGCAUUUGAAAAAAAAGGUAAUCUAUGAAGAAUUUGAAAAAAAAGAAAACGGACAUUUCAGAUUAGCGCAAUCCGUAACUAUUCGUUCACGGCUUGCUGUCUUCUCUCACGUCCGCGCUUGCUCGUGGCAUUUACCGCUAAAAUUUAUGGAUUACAUUAUGUCAGUUGAGCGAACUUUAUCAGAAUACGUUACGGCAAAGACGUGCAUGUGUUGCAGCGGUUGAAAAUGGCACUUGUCCAAAGGUCCUUGCCAAACUGACCAAUAGUUAAGGUAAAAUACGGACAAGUUGAAAUUUGCAAUUUUUAAGGGUUUAUCAUUAUAAGGACUAGAAGAAAAAACAUUUAGUUUCUAUAGUUUGCAGAUGUACAUGUAUGUACAUCAUUGGUAAUGAUAACAUUGGAGAAUCGAUUUCCAUAUAUCAAUUAAUAACUCUAAAAAGUAUGCUUACAAAUGCAUACAUGAAGAAUCUGUGAACAUUUUUGAGCAUUUUCUUAAUAUUCCAGAGGUACACCCACACUUUCAUAAGCCACUUUCUUAUGGCUGUAAUGGGAAGAACUUAGAAGAUUAUUUCUUAUUCCAAGGUCCUUACUGUUAUACUUACUGUCCUUAAUGUCCUUUAUUUAAUCUUUUGAAAAGUAUCAUCAGUCACAAAUCCUGUAACUGUUUAAAUGAGAUAUAUAAGACAAAUGUACAAAUCUCUAAAUAUAUGCAUAUUUAUUGACAGUAUUUACAUGUGAAUAAUAUAUCAACUAUGUACAAUAAAGUUUU
This 1893-nucleotide long non-coding RNA is filed under the name Haliotis rufescens (red abalone). RNAcentral describes it as "uncharacterized LOC125377500". Lineage: Eukaryota; Metazoa; Mollusca; Gastropoda; Lepetellida; Haliotidae. The record is from RNAcentral.